CCUCUUCAAAGGUGGAGACACGCUAGACCCAAACUGUUGCAGACCUAUAUCUAUCCUACCCUGCCUUUCUAAGGUCUUCAAAAGCCAAGUUAACAAACAGAUCACCAACCAUUUCGAAUCCCACCGUACCUUCUCUGCUAUGUAAUCUGCUUUCCGAGCUGGUCAUGGGUGCACCUCAGCGACGCUCAAGGUCCUAAACGAUAUCCUAAUCGCCAUCGACAAAAGACAGUACUGUGCAGCCGUAUCCAUCGACCUGGCCAAGGCUUUCGACUCUGUCUAUCACCGCAUUCUUAUCGGCAGAUUCAACAGCCUUGGUUUCUCAAAUGACUGUCUCGCCUGGUUCACCAACUACUUCUCAGAUAAGAGUUCAGUGUGUCAAAUGGACAUGGAGCAACUGCGAAAAAGAAAUGGCUGAGGAUAUGCUAAAAAUGUCUUAGUUCAACAAAGCCAACAACUGCUUCAUGUGUGCCACUGAUAGAGAACCUGAAUGUGGCCCAAAGACUGACUGGAUUGAAUGUUUUGCAUGACAACGGUGGUUCCACGUGCUGUAACUAGGAAUGAAGAGAAACGAGUUCAACAGAGCGAAGAACACAAACUGGAAGUGCUGUCUUUGUUGUUGAAAAUGUAUGCUUUUCCCCAUCCACACUGAAGAGGCUCUGACAUGUACAUCAACCAGGGAUAAAG
Oncorhynchus tshawytscha (Chinook salmon) is the source of this 684-nucleotide long non-coding RNA. Lineage: Eukaryota; Metazoa; Chordata; Actinopteri; Salmoniformes; Salmonidae. The record is from Ensembl.